RNAcentral lists this ribosomal RNA (505 nucleotides) under uncultured bacterium. RNAcentral's name for it is "partial 16S ribosomal RNA". It matches the Rfam family "Bacterial small subunit ribosomal RNA", at positions 28 to 507 of the family's 1533-position model. The record is from RNAcentral.
GACGAACGCUGGCGGCGUGCCUAAUACAUGCAAGUAGAACGCACAGUUUAUACCGUAGCUUGCUACACCAUAAACUGUGAGUUGCGAACGGGUGAGUAACGCGUAGGUAACCUGCCUGGUAGCGGGGGAUAACUAUUGGAAACGAUAGCUAAUACCGCAUAAUAUUGAUUAUUGCAUGAUAAUUGAUUGAACGAUGCUAUUGCAUCACUACCAGAUGGACCUGCGUUGUAUUAGCUAGUAGGUGAGGUAACGGCUCACCUAGGCGACGAUACAUAGCCGACCUGAGAGGGUGAUCGGCCACACUGGGACUGAGACACGGCCCAGACUCCUACGGGAGGCAGCAGUAGGGAAUCUUCGGCAAUGGACGAAAGUCUGACCGAGCAACGCCGCGUGAGUGAAGAAGGUUUUCGGAUCGUAAAGCUCUGUUGUAAGAGAAGAACGGGUGUGAGAGUGGAAAGUUCACACUGUGACGGUAUCUUACCAGAAAGGGACGGCUAACUACGUG